RNAcentral lists this ribosomal RNA (433 nucleotides) under uncultured bacterium. RNAcentral's name for it is "bacterial SSU rRNA". It matches the Rfam family "Bacterial small subunit ribosomal RNA", at positions 29 to 507 of the family's 1533-position model. The record is from RNAcentral.
AACGAACGCUGGCGGCAGGCCUAACACAUGCAAGUCGAGCGCGCCCUUCGGGGUGAGCGGCGGACGGGUGAGUAACGCGUGGGAACGUGCCCUUUGCUACGGAAUAGUCUCGGGAAACUGGGGGUAAUACCGUAUGAGCCCUUCGGGGGAAAGAUUUAUCGGCAAAGGAUCGGCCCGCGUUGGAUUAGGUAGUUGGUGGGGUAAUGACUCACCAAGCCGACGAUCCAUAGCUGGUUUGAGAGGAUGAUCAGCCACACUGGGACUGAGACACGGCCCAGACUCCUACGGGAGGCAGCAGCGGGGAAUCUUAGACAAUGGGCGCAAGCCUGAUCUAGCCAUGCCGCGUGAGCGAUGAAGGCCUUAGGGUUGUAAAGCUCUUUCGUGGGGGAAGAUAAUGACUGUACCCCAAGAAGAAGCCCCGGCUAACUCCGUG